UGAGGAAUAUUGGUCAAUGGACGCAAGUCUGAACCAGCCAAGUAGCGUGCAGGAUGACGGCCCUAUGGGUUGUAAACUGCUUUUAUAUGGGGAUAAAGUGGGGAACGUGUUCCCUUUUGCAGGUACCAUAUGAAUAAGGACCGGCUAAUUCCGUGCCAGCAGCCGCGGUAAUACGGAAGGUUCGGGCGUUAUCCGGAUUUAUUGGGUUUAAAGGGAGCGUAGGCCGUUUGGUAAGCGUGUUGUGAAAUGUAGGAGCUCAACUUCUAGAUUGCAGCGCGAACUGUCAGACUUGAGUGCGCACAACGUAGGCGGAAUUCAUGGUGUAGCGGUGGAAUGCGCAGAUAUCGGGAAGAACACCGAUGGCGAAGGCAGCCUGCUGGGCCGGCACUGACGCUGAGGCGCGAAAGCUAGGGGAGCGAACAGG
This 424-nucleotide ribosomal RNA is filed under the name Verrucomicrobiota bacterium. Its description in RNAcentral is "Verrucomicrobia bacterium partial 16S ribosomal RNA". It matches the Rfam family "Bacterial small subunit ribosomal RNA", at positions 355 to 776 of the family's 1533-position model. Lineage: Bacteria; Pseudomonadati; Verrucomicrobiota. The record is from RNAcentral.